Rhinopithecus roxellana (golden snub-nosed monkey) is the source of this 763-nucleotide long non-coding RNA. RefSeq lists it as uncharacterized. Lineage: Eukaryota; Metazoa; Chordata; Mammalia; Primates; Cercopithecidae. The transcript is spliced from 3 exons. The record is from RefSeq and is a predicted model, not a curated record.
UCCCGCGCUUGGUCUGGAUCCGCUAGGACCAGCCGGGUGUGGGGCGGGGCGGGGAGGCCACGUGGGCCGCGUGGAGAACGUGCCAGGCUCAUCACCUGGAUGAUCGUGCCUCAAUUUCCUCCUCGGCAAAUGGGGCUUCAGCGGCUCGCGAUGCACAUUGAUGGAGCCUAUGUCCAGGCGCCGGUGCACCGCCAGGAGCGAAAUAGACACAGUCCUUGCUCCUAGGGCUUAAGUCCCGGGCGAAGAAAACGAUCAGGCCUGGUGUCAGCCAUUGUUGGCAGGAGAUCAUCUGAGCAGAUUGUGUGGAUUUCAGAGGCAUGAAAACUACUGUGAGGAUUAAAUAACCAUAACAGCUGUGAUUGGACAAGAGACUGAUUUCAGUGACUUUCUCCUGAUAAGAGACCACCGACCAGCUGACCCCACCGACCAGCUGACCCGUUUAUAGAGCUGAUGCACCUGCAUGCCUUUGUGUCCUGAAAAGACCUUUUUUCCAUAAAGGCCUUAACUGUAAGACAGGUAAAUGUUAAGUCUCCACCCCAAAGUGAAUAUGGGUCAUUUAUUACAUGCUUUGCUCAAAAACAAGGCAUGUGUCAGGACCAUCUUCAUGAAUGUUCAUAGCUCCUCCUCUAACCUGUUAAAUAUGUAUGCUUAGUCAAUCCCUUCAGCAUAGAGCUCCUGCCCCAACCCCUCCUCCUUGGAAGUGCCCGUCUCUGGCCUUGGCUGAAGACAGAUUCCCGGCCUGAGACAGAUGGCUGCCACCUUG